GAUGAACGCUGGCGGCGUGCCUAAUACAUGCAAGUCGAGCGAACAGACGAGGAGCUUGCUCCUCUGACGUUAGCGGCGGACGGGUGAGUAACACGUGGAUAACCUACCUAUAAGACUGGGAUAACUUCGGGAAACCGGAGCUAAUACCGGAUAAUAUAUUGAACCGCAUGGUUCAAUAGUGAAAGACGGUUUUGCUGUCACUUAUCGAUGGAUCCGCGCCGCAUUAGCUAGUUGGUAAGGUAACGGCUUACCAAGGCAACGAUGCGUAGCCGACCUGAGAGAGGGAUCGGCCACACUGGAACUGAGACACGGUCCAGACGCCUACGGGAGGCAGCAGUAGGGAAUCUUCCGCAAUGGGCGAAAGCCUGACGGAGCAACGCCGCGUGAGUGAUGAAGGUCUUCGGAUCGUAAAACUCUGUUAUUAGGGAAGAACAAAUGUGUAAGUAACUAUGCACGUCUUGACGGUACCUAAUCAGAAAGCCACGGCUAACUACGUG
RNAcentral lists this ribosomal RNA (497 nucleotides) under uncultured bacterium. Its description in RNAcentral is "partial 16S ribosomal RNA". It matches the Rfam family "Bacterial small subunit ribosomal RNA", at positions 28 to 507 of the family's 1533-position model. The record is from RNAcentral.